RNAcentral lists this ribosomal RNA (479 nucleotides) under uncultured bacterium. RNAcentral's name for it is "bacterial SSU rRNA". It matches the Rfam family "Bacterial small subunit ribosomal RNA", at positions 8 to 496 of the family's 1533-position model. The record is from RNAcentral.
AGAGUUUGAUCCUGGCUCAGGAUAAACGCUGGCGGCGCACAUAAGACAUGCAAGUCGAACGGACCAAAGCUUUAGUUUACUAUAGCCAAGGUUAGUGGCGGACUGGUGAGUAACACGUAAGCAACCUGCCUAUCAGAGGGGAACAACAGUUAGAAAUGACUGCUAAUACCGCAUAUGCCUAAGUUUCGCAUGAGACAAUAGGGAAAGGAGAAAUCCGCUGAUAGAUGGGCUUGCGUCUGAUUAGCUAGUUGGUGGGGUAGAGGCCUACCAAGGCAACGAUCAGUAGCCGAACUGAGAGGUUGAACGGCCACAUUGGGACUGAGAUACGGCCCAGACUCCUACGGGAGGCAGCAGUCGGGAAUAUUGCGCAAUGGAGGAAACUCUGACGCAGUGACGCCGCGUGCAGGAAGAAGGUUUUCGGAUUGUAAACUGCUUUAGACAGGGAAGAAACAAGACAGUACCUGUAGAAUAAGCUCCGG